CUUGAUCAAUUAUAAGAGGUCAAGCCUGCCCAGUGACAUUGUUCAACGGCCGCGGUAUCCUAACCGUGCGAAGGUAGCGUAAUCACUUGUCCUUUAAAUAAGGACUAGUAUGAACGGCUUCACGAAGGCUAUACUGUCUCCUUAAUCUAAUCAAUUAAACUAAUCUCCCCGUGAAGAAGCGGGGAUUCGUCUAUAAGACGAGAAGACCCUAUGGAGCUUUAAACAUCUAAGACACUUGAUUAUAUCUACUAAACUUCAUGUAACCUAUCAUUUUGUCUUAAGUUUUAGGUUGGGGUGACCACGGAGAAAAAUUAAACCUCCACGUAGAAAGAAAAUUUUUUCUAAGCAAAAAGCCACAUCUUAACGCAUCAAUAUAUUGACUUAAAUUGACCCAAUUUCUUGCUCAACGAAC
This 412-nucleotide ribosomal RNA is filed under the name Allobates femoralis group sp. ABGD cluster 9. RNAcentral's name for it is "partial large subunit ribosomal RNA". It matches the Rfam family "Bacterial large subunit ribosomal RNA", at positions 1834 to 2457 of the family's 2925-position model. Lineage: Eukaryota; Metazoa; Chordata; Amphibia; Anura; Aromobatidae. The record is from RNAcentral.